This 253-nucleotide ribosomal RNA is filed under the name uncultured bacterium. RNAcentral's name for it is "partial 16S ribosomal RNA". It matches the Rfam family "Bacterial small subunit ribosomal RNA", at positions 524 to 776 of the family's 1533-position model. The record is from RNAcentral.
UACGUAGGGGGCAAGCGUUGUCCGGAAUCAUUGGGCGUAAAGCGCGUGUAGGCGGCUCGAUAAGUCUGCUGUGAAAGUCCAAGGCUCAACCUUGGGAUGCCGGUGGAUACUGUCGAGCUCGAGUCCGGAAGAGGAGUGUGGAAUUCCUGGUGUAGCGGUGAAAUGCGCAGAUAUCAGGAGGAACACCAGUGGCGAAAGCGGCUUCCUGGUCCAGCACCGACGUUCAGGCACGAAAGCGUGGGGAGCAAACAGG